AUGAACGCUGGCGGCGUGCCUCAUACAUGCAAGUCGAGCGAACGGACGAGAAGCUUGCUUCUCUGAUGUUAGCGGCGGACGGGUGAGUAACACGUGGAUAACCUACCUAUAAGACUGGGAUAACUUCGGGAAACCGGAGCUAAUACCGGAUAAUAUUUUGAACCGCAUGGUUCAAAAGUGAAAGACGGUCUUGCUGUCACUUAUAGAUGGAUCCGCGCUGCAUUAGCUAGUUGGUAAGGUAACGGCUUACCAAGGCAACGAUGCAUAGCCGACCUGAGAGGGUGAUCGGCCACACUGGAACUGAGACACGGUCCAGACUCCUACGGGAGGCAGCAGUAGGGAAUCUUCCGCAAUGGGCGAAAGCCUGACGGAGCAACGCCGCGUGAGUGAUGAAGGUCUUCGGAUCGUAAAACUCUGUUAUUAGGGAAGAACAUAUGUGUAAGUAACUGUGCACAUCUUGACGGCACCUAAUCAGAAAGCCACGGCUAACUACGUG
Molecule: ribosomal RNA, 496 nt
Filed under: uncultured bacterium
Lineage: Bacteria
Description: partial 16S ribosomal RNA
Rfam family: Bacterial small subunit ribosomal RNA
Source: RNAcentral